AUUGAACGCUGGCGGCAGGCCUAACACAUGCAAGUCGGACGGUAGCACAGAGGAGCUUGCUCCUCGGGUGACGAGUGGCGGACGGGUGAGUAAUGUCUGGGAAACUGCCCGAUGGAGGGGGAUAACUACUGGAAACGGUAGCUAAUACCGCAUAACGUCGCAAGACCAAAGUGGGGGACCUUCGGGCCUCACACCAUCGGAUGUGCCCAGAUGGGAUUAGCUGGUAGGCGGGGUAACGGCCCACCUAGGCGACGAUCCCUAGCUGGUCUGAGAGGAUGACCAGCCACACUGGAACUGAGACACGGUCCAGACUCCUACGGGAGGCAGCAGUGGGGAAUAUUGCAAAAUGGGCGCAAGCCUGAUGCAGCCAUGCCGCGUGUAUGAAGAAGGCCUUCGGGUUGUAAAGUACUUUCAGCGGGGAGGAAGGUGCUGAGGUUAAUAAGCUCAGCAAUUGACGUUACCCGCAGAAGAAGCACCGGCUAACUCCGUGCCAGCCGCCGCCGCCG
RNAcentral lists this ribosomal RNA (506 nucleotides) under uncultured bacterium. RNAcentral's name for it is "partial 16S ribosomal RNA". It matches the Rfam family "Bacterial small subunit ribosomal RNA", at positions 29 to 523 of the family's 1533-position model. The record is from RNAcentral.